Molecule: non-coding RNA, 570 nt
Organism: Salvelinus sp. IW2-2015
Lineage: Eukaryota; Metazoa; Chordata; Actinopteri; Salmoniformes; Salmonidae
Source: RefSeq, a predicted model, not a curated record
AUUUGUUUUUGUUUUAGAUGAUGCCAAAUAUCCCUCAGAUGCCACAGAUUCCAAACCUGUUCCAAUAUGAAUACCAACCACAAACUGUGCCACAGCAAAGACCCAAUAUCCCAUUCCCACCAUACAACUCUCAACUUCCUCAUUCCCAGGAUCCUUUGCAGCCAACUGAGCAGGAGCAGCCAAUGCAGACCGGCCAGGUACCUCAUGUGCAACCAUAGAAUGGAAACUGAAUUUACCAGCUUGAAGGAAGUACAAAGUCUGCCGACCCAGAGAAGACCAGAUGAUUUGCUGCUUCAAUAUGGCCUUUUGAUAUUAAUUGGGGUAUUUACAGUAGUAUGGUUAUGAGUAUCAAUGUAGAGUGCACAGUUAAUCUACUGUCCCUUUAGAGUUUAUCCCCUUGAUGUUUCUAGUGAAAGUUAUUGUAAUGAGUAUUAUAAGCAUGCAUCAUUGAUAUUACAGUAGGCAAUAGAGAGUAUGGGUGGACAUUAUCUGACUUACAAUCUUUUCUUUGCUACAUUUAAUUUAAGACGUGUAUUUUAGUAAAGGCAAUUAAAGUAUGUUUACAAGCAA